CCUACGGGUGGCUGCAGUGGGGAAUAUUGCGCAAUGGGCGAAAGCCUGAACCAGCCAAGUAGCGUGAAGGAUGACUGCCCUACGGGUUGUAAACUUCUUUUAUAAAGGAAUAAAGUGAGGCACGUGUGCCUUUUUGUAUGUACUUUAUGAAUAAGGAUCGGCUAACUCCGUGCCAGCAGCCGCGGUAAUACGGAGGGGCCGAGCGUUAUCCGGAUUUAUUGGGUUUAAAGGGAGCGUAGAUGGGUUGGUAAGUCAGUUGUGAAAGUUUGGGGCUCAACCGUAAGAUUGAAAUUGAUACUGGCAGUCUUGAGUACAGGUGAGGUAGGCGGAAUUCGUGGUGUAGCGGUGAAAUGCGUAGAUAUCACGAGGAACACCGAUUGCGAAGGCAGCUUACUAAACUGCCACUGACGUUGAGGCUCGAAAGUGUGGGGAGCAAACAGGAUUAGAUACCCGGGUAGUC
Molecule: ribosomal RNA, 460 nt
Filed under: uncultured bacterium
Lineage: Bacteria
Description: partial 16S ribosomal RNA
Rfam family: Bacterial small subunit ribosomal RNA
Source: RNAcentral